RNAcentral lists this transfer RNA (88 nucleotides) under Lactobacillus sp. Sy-1. RNAcentral describes it as "tRNA-Ser". It matches the Rfam family "tRNA". Rfam says of the family: Transfer RNA (tRNA) molecules are approximately 80 nucleotides in length. Lineage: Bacteria; Bacillati; Bacillota; Bacilli; Lactobacillales; Lactobacillaceae. RNAcentral also lists the same sequence under 6 other names. The record is from RNAcentral.
GGAGGAUUACCCAAGUGGCUGAAGGGGGCGGUCUUGAAAACCGCUAGGCGUGUCAAAGCGCGCGAGGGUUCGAAUCCCUCAUCCUCCU